RNAcentral lists this ribosomal RNA (253 nucleotides) under uncultured bacterium. RNAcentral describes it as "partial 16S ribosomal RNA". It matches the Rfam family "Bacterial small subunit ribosomal RNA", at positions 524 to 776 of the family's 1533-position model. The record is from RNAcentral.
UACAGAGGAGCCAAGCGUUGUCCGGAUUGACUGGGCGUAAAGCGCAUGCAGGCGGAUGCGCGCGUGGGGUGUGAAAUCUGGCCGCUUAACGGCCAGGCGCCAUCCCAUACGGCGCGUCUGGAGUGAUGCAGAGGUCGAUGGAAUUGCCGGUGUAGUGGUGAAAUGCGUAGAGAUCGGCAGGAACACCCAGGGGGAAACCAGUCGACUGGGCAUCUACUGACGCUGAGGUGCGAGAGCGUGGGGAGCGAACCGG